UCUGAAUCUAGCCCUGAGUCAAAAGACACAAUGAAUUAUGACAAAAGUGGGUGUAUUCCAGAGAUGGGAGGUUAGAAAAUAAUACGAAAAUGAUAUUAUUCUGACCUUACUCUAUUACUCAGCCCCAAUUCCCCCACACUUUGUGAACCUUUUUGUGAGUACAAUGCUAAGGCAGUUUAAAAAAAUGCAACUAUAUACAAGUUCAUCAAUUCCAGAUGUAAAGUCAAUAGCAAUUCAAGUGAUGACCACAGCAGUAACCUGGAGACCUGCAGUCUCAAUGUAUCAGGUAAAUGACGGUCCUGAGGAACAGAUGUCAGGACAUCAGAUGUGAAGUUAAAGGAUCCAUCUAAAGACUAUCUGUGGCGACCAAAGGGAGCCACAGUGAGGCAGCCAAACGUGAGCACUGAGAUGAAGGAAAUAGGCCCGAAGCAGCCUGCUCAUGCUCUGAGACUGGAGGAAGAGGGUGAACGCAAUCUCUGGAGGGAAGCCCUGACUUCAGGCAGCUCAGGCACAGAAUGACCCAUUACACUGAGUAGAUACUC
RNAcentral lists this long non-coding RNA (542 nucleotides) under Homo sapiens (human). RNAcentral's name for it is "non-protein coding lnc-THBS1-6:1". Lineage: Eukaryota; Metazoa; Chordata; Mammalia; Primates; Hominidae. The record is from RNAcentral.